RNAcentral lists this long non-coding RNA (1694 nucleotides) under Bemisia tabaci. RNAcentral describes it as "lncRNA ENSSSA2NGG013712". The record is from RNAcentral. Lineage: Eukaryota; Metazoa; Arthropoda; Insecta; Hemiptera; Aleyrodidae.
GAGAGCGAAGAAGCCAGAUCUGUACAGAACGAGGAAAUUACAGUCUUAUUUUAGAAUUUGAAAAUAUGAAGUAUGACCCAUUCUCUCUUUAAAUCUUUGUGAUCCUUCAUAGCUUAUUGUUGUCCUGUUUGCAGAUGAUUAUGAGUAGCCGUAGAGAAUGCCUGCAGGUUGACCUCCGGCAGGCCCUCCAAGGAGGAAAGUUCUGCAGAGCGGGAGGGGAGAAGAAAAUCCAUUGUGAGAAAGGACCUAAAUGAUUUCGUAACCCCAUCCUCCAGCAAAAGUGAAAGUCACAAGGAUAGCUCCUCAAAACCUAUCAAGAUAUCUAGAAGGUCUACCUCCAGCAAAUGUAGCAAGUUUGUAGGUUCAGUUCCGACUCCACCAACUGGCCAGAGUCGUUCCCCUAAAGAUCAAACUGGACAAGGCAAUUCUCUUUGCUCAUGCACAGACUAUCAUGUAUGCUUCAGCGAGGAACCUAUAACUCUCGAGUCAAUCGCACGAAAUUUGUGUCGAUUAUCUCGUUCGAUUGCGAUCAAAAAUACCUCAGACAAGGCAAAAUUAUUGUCUAUUGAAAGCCGAAUAGGAGAAUUGAAUGAAAAAUUCAAGUCCAUGCCCUUGCCCAGACAAGUCAAGUUGAAAUUAAUAAGGAAAUACCUCAAAGCAGUGUUCCUGAGAUAACUCCUACCACUGUGAAAGUUGACGCACCCAUCAAGGAAACAGACCUUAUAUUACAGAAAUUUCCAGUUUCUGAUAUUGCAGAAUUUCACAAAUUGGACGAACAAUUGAAAAAUGAAGCGCUCCGCUCUGCAGUGGCUGGACAAAUGGCAAAUCUAGUCGACGUUAAAGAGACAAGUAAAACUAUCACAGCUCGAAACAUUGUCAAGUAUAUGCUGUCCGCGGACAUCUUAACUCUGAUUUCAUGGAAAGGCCAUACAAGGGACGGCAUCAGUAAAGUUAGUUUCUUCAACACCAACUUUCGAAAGCUUCUGAUCGAUUGCCUGUUAAACAUGUACAGAAUGACGGAGGGUAGAACCAUGGCCGCUGCGGAUUGGUUUGGACCUUCUAAUCAGAAGAAAAUGUGCGCCAGUGUGUCCACAUCUGUCAGUCAGUCCUUCUCGCAAAUUCAUAGGAAAGACGAGAAGAAAUCGAAGAAAUCGUCCCGGAAAUCUAAAUCCAGAAGGGCCCGAUCGAGCAGCUCGGGCUCCCCGUCAACUGCAUCCUCUCGUGAAUCGUCUGGCUCUUCUUCCUCUACUUUACCAUCAAGCCGAAAAAGAAGACAUCAUAGCAAUAAGGGUAAGAAAUAUCCUUCAAAGAAGAAAUCAGUGAGACAUAGCAGAUCCCGUACCAAAAGCACGUCAACAUCAGAAACCCGAAGCAUAGUUGAUUCGGAAUCUAUUUUGACAGAGCAGCCUGUUUUGGAAAAUCCCUAAAGUUACUAACAAGAACUCAGUUUUGUUGAGACAGUGGAUAUUAUAGUAUUUAUAUUUUGACUUUGUGAUUCAUGGACCUAAGGUACUUGAAUCAAUGUUAUUUUUUUUAUUUUUGAUAUUCAUACACUUUUUUUUCUUAGUUUAAAACUAUUUGUGAUAAUGAAGUUGAUUGAUCUCUGAGAUUUUCAACUAACAAGGGGAACUUACGGACCUGCCGCCUCCCUUGUAAGGCGAUCUCUCUGUCCAAGUAUUUUGGUUCUUAAUUUU